Molecule: ribosomal RNA, 301 nt
Filed under: uncultured bacterium
Lineage: Bacteria
Description: partial 16S ribosomal RNA
Rfam family: Bacterial small subunit ribosomal RNA
Source: RNAcentral
CAGUAGCCGCGGGAAUACGUAGGUGGCAAGCGUUGUCCGGAAUUAUUGGGCGUAAAGGGCUCGCAGGCGGUUUCUUAAGUCUGAUGUGAAAGCCCCCGGCUCAACCGGGGAGGGUCAUUGGAGACUGGGAAACUUGAGUGCAGAAGAGGAGAGUGGAAUUCCACGUGUAGCGGUGAAAUGCGUAGAGAUGUGGAGGAACACCAGUGGCGAAGGCGACUCUCUGGUCUGUAACUAACGCUGAGGAGCGAAAGCGUGGGGAGCGAACAGGAUUAGAUACCCGCGUAGUCCCUGUCUCUUAUAA